Molecule: ribosomal RNA, 403 nt
Filed under: uncultured bacterium
Lineage: Bacteria
Description: bacterial SSU rRNA
Rfam family: Bacterial small subunit ribosomal RNA
Source: RNAcentral
UGGGGAAUAUUGCACAAUGGGGGAAACCCUGAUGCAGCGACGCCGCGUGUAGGAAGACGGUCCUCUGGAUUGUAAACUACUGUCUUCGGGGACGAUAAUGACGGUACCCGAGGAGGAAGCUCCGGCUAACUCCGUGCCAGCAGCCGCGGUAAUACGGAGGAUCCGAGCGUUAUCCGGAUUUACUGGGUGUAAAGGGAGCGUAGACGGUACUGCAAGUCUGGAGUGAAAUGCGGGGGCUCAACCCCCGAACUGCUUUGGAAACUGUGAUACUGGAGUGCAGGAGAGGUAAGCGGAAUUCCUAGUGUAGCGGUGAAAUGCUUAGAUAUCACGAAGAACUCCGAUUGCGUAGGCAGCUUACUAAACUAUAACUGACACUGAGGCACGAAAGUGUGGGUAUCAAACA